RNAcentral lists this ribosomal RNA (494 nucleotides) under uncultured bacterium. RNAcentral describes it as "partial 16S ribosomal RNA". It matches the Rfam family "Bacterial small subunit ribosomal RNA", at positions 28 to 507 of the family's 1533-position model. The record is from RNAcentral.
GACGAACGCUGGCGGCGUGCUUAACACAUGCAAGUCGAACGGUGAAGCGCCUUCCUUUUUGGUGGGUGUGGAUGAGUGGCGAACGGGUGAGUAACACGUGAGUAACCUGCCCCCUUCUUCUGGAUAACCGCAUGAAAGUGUGGCUAAUACGGGAUAUUCUGGGUCUGUCGCAUGAUGGGUCUGGGAAAGAUAUUGUUUCGGUGGGGGAUGGGCUCGCGGCCUAUCAGCUUGUUGGUGGGGUGAUGGCCUACCAAGGGGGUGACGGGCCGCCGGCCUGAGAGGGUGGACGGUCACACUGGGACUGAGCCCCCGCCCAGACUCCUACGGGAGGCAGCAGUGGGGAAUAUUGCACAAUGGGCGCAAGCCUGAUGCAGCGACGCCGCGUGAGGGAUGGCGGCCUUCGGGUUGUGAACCUCUUUCGCCAGUGAAGCAGGCCUGCCUCGUUUGUGGGUGGGUUGACGGUAGCUUGAUAAGAAGCGCCGGCUAACUACGUG